Molecule: ribosomal RNA, 468 nt
Filed under: uncultured bacterium
Lineage: Bacteria
Description: partial 16S ribosomal RNA
Rfam family: Bacterial small subunit ribosomal RNA
Source: RNAcentral
GACGAACGCUGGCGGCGCGCUUAACACAUGCAAGUCGAACGGAAAGGCCCUGCUUUUGUGGGGUGCUCGAGUGGCGAACGGGUGAGUAACACGUGAGUAACCUGCCCUUGACUUUGGGAUAACUUCAGGAGACUGGGGCCAAUACCGGAUAGGAGCUCCUGCUGCAUGGUGGGGGUUGGAAAGUUUCGGCGGUUGGGGAUGGACUCGCGGCUUAUCAGCUUGUUGGGGGGGUAGUGGCUUACCAAGGCUUUGACGGGUAGCCGGCCUGAGAGGGUGACCGGCCACAUCGGGACUGAGAUACGGCCCAGACUCGUACGGGAGGCAGCAGUGGGGAGUAUUGCACAGUGGGCGGAAGCCUGAUACAGCGACGCCGCGUGCGGGAUGACGGCCUUCGGGUUGUAAACCGCUUUCGCAUGUGACGAGGCGUGAGUGACGGUAAUGGGUAAAGAAGCACCGGCUAACUACGUG